AAGUUGGACAAGACAGCACUUCAGAUCUGAAGGAACCAACAAUGGACACCAGGCCUUUAUUAUGUCAAAAGAAAAGAGAAGCUCUUUUUUUUAGCUUGGUUCACAGCUCAUCAGGAUGCUCAUUCCCAGAACCCCUGAGCUUAGACUUGGUGGAAAGUAGGGUCUCAGGUUUCAUCAGUGACAGCCUGGUAUCACCCAAAGUUCUGGAGACAAGUUUGGUCACUGUGAGAAGAUCUUCCUACACCUGCAAGUAGCAGGGAGAAGGCUGUGACACCAGCUUUAGAAAAGGUCUGGCUUUAUCUUAGUCUGUGUAACAAGUGUAAAUGCUGAUGCUAUUGCUGGUGCUUUCCAUGCACCAUGGUGCACGGUGAAACAUGUGUCUUCCUACUGGUGAUUAUUGUGCAUAAUUGAAUGGACAGAAUCAUCUAACUGUACCCAGAUAAUUGACCAGGAAACUGGAACCCUGGUAUCAGGAGCCUAAUGAGGAAUUCAUAAUAUAUAAAACAAUAUUUUUUAUUUUUUUUUUGAGGGAGUAGAAAGAAUGACAGACUAACAAAAGGGCAGUAAAGGGAAAGGAAGGAAAGGGUGAAAACUUUGAAUGGUCAGAGAGGACGCUAUUAUGAUGUGAACCAAUUUCUAGCAUUCAAGGCAUACAGUGAACUAUUUUAAUUUUUCAACAACAAUGCAAGUCAUGUAGGCACUCAUAAAAACUUAAAAGCUCUUUUUAAAAUAAUAGCAUGCAUUUUACAUGUACUAUAUGUACUUACUCUCUCAGAGUGCAAGUUAUUUAUCAUUCUUGUCUAAGCUAAUAGUCCAUCUCUGUCUGGAUUGCGAAGUUUAAUUAACUUCUGUAGGUGUUACAAGGAAAAUUAUGCCUAACUGAGUCUAAAAUCCACAUUCUUGAAUGAAGGGCAUUUUUAAAUGAAGAUGACUGAUACACUUUUUGAAUAACAACUUCAUGUUUUUCUGCUUCAUACAGAGCAAUAACAUUCCAACUUUACAGCCUGUAGAAUCCAGACAAAUAACACACCUUUCUCAUCAAGAUGCUCUCAUGAGGACUAUAGCUAACUCUAAUAACUGUAACUUUUGCUCUGCUACUUAAGGCUGAUGAGUUUGAGAUACUGGUCACAGAAGAGAUGGCAAAAAUUUAGUAGCCUAGUGGGCAUUGCACGUGAUGGGGAAUUACAAGAGAUUAGAGAGUAUUUUUGGGUCUUCAUGUUGCUAUCACCACUAAUGCACAAUUUGUACAGAGUUUGAACUGAGUGAUGAAGCACAAGAAGGGGUAAAUCUCCAAAGCAAAAAGACAAAGAUGCUAUAAUCUCUUAGUAAUGGUACUGUCCCACACCAUCAAGCUUAUUUUGGUAUCUUACUUAAUGCAUGGCAUCAGGAAGCUUAUCACAGUUAAAAAUACCAGGAAAAGCAUAGUUCAUCCUUCUGCUCUGAAUUGAGCUGCAUGACCAAAAUUCAGGCAGAGCCACAUAUGCUUAAAGGACUCUUAGAUACAGCCAGAAAUGUGGGCCAUGACAAAAAAGAUGAGCCCUUCUCCUCUGGUGAAGUCCAAUACCAUAGUAGGGGACCUUGUUGGAAGAGAAAUAUGAAUUGUGAGGGCUUACACUAAGCUGGAGUGUUUUUAAUAGCAUAUCACCAGUCAGUGUGCAUUUUUCACUUAUCAAAAUGACAUUGUUUUUUUAUCUAUCUGUGUGUUCAUGCUAAGACAUUAAAUGCAAGACAGCAGGAUUUGGCACUUUCUCUGCAUUGGCAGUGGUUGCAAUACACCUAUUGUCCUUUUGCUGCAGGUGCAGUCACCUUACAUCUCAGAAAAUCUGCCUUCCUAUUCUAAUAUGAAAUAAAACAUGACUUCUCAAAUACA
Cyanistes caeruleus (blue tit) is the source of this 1870-nucleotide long non-coding RNA. Lineage: Eukaryota; Metazoa; Chordata; Aves; Passeriformes; Paridae. The record is from Ensembl.